This is a long non-coding RNA of Triticum aestivum (bread wheat), 3723 nucleotides long. RefSeq lists it as uncharacterized. The transcript has 3 exons. NCBI's taxonomy places the organism in Eukaryota, Viridiplantae, Streptophyta, Magnoliopsida, Poales, Poaceae. The record is from RefSeq and is a predicted model, not a curated record.
AGGAGAGUCACGGGCGAACGCCCGGUAAAAACCUAGCGCUUCCCCACCCACGCCCCCACGCGACCCUCCCUCCUCUUCCUCGAUCUCCCUCCAAGCCGCCGCCGCCGCCGCCUCUCCCCAUCUUCAUCCUCUCUCUCCUGUGUCGCCGCUGUCUCUCCUCUUCCUCCCCACUCUAGCCCCUCCAGGUCGUUGCUCGCAGUGGUUCCAGAUUCACCGCUGGUCGUCCCCAUGGGUGAGGAGGGGAAGCGGGGUCUUCAAGGUUGGUGGAGGUGCAGGGGAGACCGGCGGCGUGGGGACGAGCAGCGAGCCAGGAGCCAGGGAGAGGCCAACGUCGGGGACAAGAAGCAGCGGGGCCAGCCGUCCGUCGCGGUGGUUUGGAGGGAGAGGGAGGAGGUCGGCCACGAGAGAAGGAGCAGUCCAGCCCUGCUUCGUCAUGGAGGAUGUCCAGCUGCUCGUCCUCCUCCGCCUCUUCUCCAAGCGUCCACUUUAUCGCAAUUCAGCUUCACAAUUGAGUGUGUAUGAACAAUGCAACGGAGGUCAUGUUAACUCCUACAGCCUGAUACGUUCUUUCGUCUCCUGGUGAUUACUUCGAAUGGUUGUGUGAGGAACAAAUGUUGCAAUUCCAGCUUCAUCGACGAACUCACUCGCUGCUCUAGAAGGUGCUUGGGCUUGUUUCUCUGACGAUUUACUUUGACAUCUCACAUGGAUCUUCAAUGCCUCAUAUACCUAUUUUUUAUUCUCUCGUCAAUUCCACGCGCCUGCUCGUCCAUUGCACGGUACUAGAUGGUCCCUGUUAAGUUAAUUCGAGGUACAUCCCAUCAGGACUAUUAUUUGAUUUGUUGGAUUAAUUUAUUUCAGAUAGCUUACUCCAGGUUGAAUCUCUCUGUCAUUUGCAAAACCACAAUAUGGCAAUAUAUUGAACAUCUAGGCCUAUUAUGUAAGUGCAUGUCUAUUGUUAUGAGCUUCAGUUUUCGACUCUAUGCAAUUCUCGGUGUCCUACUUUGUAUUGUUUAGUACUCCAAUAAUUUAGGGGAUGCCAAAUUAAACCAAUUUGUUUAUACAAAGGCUCAUUGAAGCUUCUGUUAUAGGUUUUCUACUAAUUUGAUCUUUUCCUUCAUUGCAUUGCAAGGCUACCAAUGCUAAUCCUUUCUUGGUACAGUUCAAGUUUGCUAUCAAAUUCUGAAAAAAGAAAAACAAGCUCUAAAUCAGGGGAUUCGCUGAGAGGGAGUGAUUCCGUAGACCAGAUUGAUAGUGUUUGUUUGUCUACUUUUUGAUGUUUUGCAGAUACUAAUCGGUGUGGAUUUGCAACCUCACGAGUCACGAUUUCCCUCGCAGCCACGGCUUUAGUUGGCUUGGGUGUUCAGGUACCUGGUUUACUCUCUAAUUAUUAUUUUUGCUUCAGUUUGAUACUUUCUUUUGGUAUCACUUGGAUUUGAUUAAGGUGAGGGGCUGCACAUGUUGCUAUGAAUAUUGCUUGGUGCCGUUUAGAUUCAUGGUUUGAGGUGUAGAAUUUCAUUUUUGUGUCGAAAGAUGGAUGUGGUUCCAGAUAUAAUUGUAGGGUUAACUGAAUAAUUCUCUAUCUAUUUCUAACCGUAGGAUGCAAUCAAUAUUGUGUUAUAUGCCUUUUGUGCCAGAUAAGAAGAGUGGUCACACAUAUAACCAAUUCUUCUAUUUUCCUGCUCAUAUACAAUAUUUAUUACAUUCAUGUAUGCUAUACACUUGAUUGCAUCACACAGAUAAUUUUUUGGUUUCUUUUCUACUCCCUCUGUUCACUUUUAUAAGGCCUUGAAGAUAUUUCAGAUAGUGUGCAAAGUAGUCCAUUUUCAAUUGUCUGAAAUGACUUACAAAAGUGAACGGACAGAGUAGCAUAAUUUGCUUGAGUCUCCUAGCGCAAUUCCAAGAACUUCAUGUUUCCCGGUGUUUAGAUCUGAUUACUAUUACCAGUGAUGUCUCUAAAGUUGGCCAUACUUUAAAUUAGUAUUAUCACUCAUGUUUCUAAAUCCGACCAUACUUUAAAUUACUAUUACCAGACAAUACUUCUGUUCACCAAAUCUUCUCAGGUUACUUCUGGUUUUUGUCCAUUCUCUGACCAUAUUUUUUUCUUGCAAUUUCUCAACACCCCUUGGUUUAGAAGGGUUCAUGCUUUUUGCGGCAAGCUCUUAACUUUUAUUUCACUUCAUGCAAGUGCAGAAACGGCUUGUUUCAAACAGUAGACCAUUGUUAAUAUAUACUAUAUUAUUUUGUCAAAAACUUGAUAGUCUUAUGGUUAAUUAUUCACUUAGUCAGAUACAUAAAUGAUGAAGCGUGAUGAAGGGCAGGGAAGAGAUAGAGGGGGGCAUUUUUGGAGUGUUCUGAUUUUCUAAAUAUUCUUUAUUUAGCAAGAGAUGUGCAGUUAUGACAGUUUUGGAAGCACCGUGCGGGUCCUUACAUUUGCUGUUACUGCCACUGCCCAAAACCAAAUUAUUGUUUUGCAGUGUAACCACAGAGACCCAGGCUAUAUGCAAGUAUGCAACCAUGUUCAAUCUGUUUGUGUUAUUACAGUUUAAAAAUUUCCAGCCAAUGUCAUACUAGGGUUCGUAUGAAUAUGAUGUGCACCAUUUAGCUGUUGGCUAUAAAUACUUAUCAUUUGAUCAGCUUGGUUUUCUCUGUAUAAAAAAUUUCUCUUGCUUCAGAAUUAUACCACAUCACAUUACAGCAAGCACUUUCAUGAUAAUAUUACCCAUAAAUUGCAUUUCCUUCCGCUCUCGGUAGAUGCUAUGCAGUCUGUAUAUUUUUUUCAUUCUGAGUUCAUUUUGGGUGUGCUUUUUUUGGGUCCUCCUUUUUAAGGGGAAUAAGAAAAGCCUCCUCAAACAGGCACAAUAAUAUGAGUCUAGCAGAACUGUUUGGUGGAGCUUGAGCUUCUCCAGGAGAGUUUGGUGCUCAUAAUUCUUUGGCAGCAGUUCCAUGUGGCUUACCUGAACAUGAGUAAGAACCUUCUGCUGGGCAUGUCACUGGUCUUGUUGUCUUGCGUUGUUGAUGGCGUGCUCUUAGAGUUGUUUUGGCGUUUCUCCGACUUAUUCAUUAAUAAGUUAGUGCUCUAAAAAUAUAUCUAUGUUCAGUAACCUCUUUACACAUAUUCAGUAACAACCCAAAUAAAGUUAGUGGACUGCCCGUAAUUUAUAUAAACCCCCAAAAUGUACUGAAAAUAAGAAAACUUGCACAGCCUAUGUUACUCCGCCAUAUGUUGGAGGACAGAAUGUAGCAAACUAAGCAGUAUUGUCUAAGCUGUGAUACUUCCUUUUGCUGUACACUUCUAUAUUCAUGUUUGAGUUUUGGCCCGUCUUUGAUAUUGCGUACACUUCUACAUUCAUGUUUGAGUUUCAUCCCUUAUUUUGUAUUGUUGUACAUAGUACACGUACAUCCAAAUUAAGUUAUUUCUUAUUUUCUGAACAUUGUAGGGUUUUGUCAAUGUUGUUGUUGCCACCCACCAUGAAUAGCUGCUUAGACAAUGAGGUCAUUUUCGAUACCGAUGGCAUAUGCGGCAGUGACUCUACCCUAAUGUAAAUGACAUAUCAUAGUUACCGUAAGCUGAGUGACCAAAGCUAUCUAUAUGGUGCAUCUCUGCCUAUGUAGCUUUGUUUUUAAUGAACUGAUCUCAUGCCUUUCUUUUGGCCUAUAAACCUACCAUGCAAUGUAAUAUAUAAUUCCAUGUAUGAACAUCAUAUCAAAAUAUAUAUUCCCUUA